RNAcentral lists this unclassified non-coding RNA (230 nucleotides) under uncultured fungus. Its description in RNAcentral is "sequence contains ITS2". Lineage: Eukaryota; Fungi. The record is from RNAcentral.
AACGCAUAUUGCACCCUCUGGUAUUCCGGGGGGUACACCUGUUCGAGCGUCAUUUAAACCUUCAAGUUUGACUUGGUGUUAGGGGAUGUCCUGGGACGCCCUCUAAACUUAACGGCGAAACCCUUUGAAAUAUCGCGCAGCAAGCUUAAACGCACGCGUGAUUUUAAGGAGGGUCGCUAAAAAUUUUUAUUUUUGACCUCGGAUCAGGUGGGGAUACCCGCUGAACUUAA